GGAAUAGGACGUGUGGUUCUAUUUUGUUGGUUCUUAGAGCUGCCGUAAUGAUUAAUAGGGAUAGUUGGGGGCAUUCAUAUUCAGUCGCUAGAGGUGAAAUUCUUGGAUUGACUGAAGAUGAACUACUGCGAAAGCAUUUGCCAAGGAUGUUUUCAUUAAUCAAGAACGAAGGUUAGGGGAUCAAAAACGAUCAGAUACCGUUGUAGUCUUAACAGUAAACUAUGCCGACUAGGGAUCGGGCGACCUCUUUAUGAUGUGUUGCUCGGCACCUUACGAGAAAUCAAAGUCUUUGGGUUSUGGGGGGAGUAUGGUCGCAAGGCUGAAACUUAAAGGAAUUGACGGAAGGGCACCACCAGGUGUGGAGCCUGCGGCUUAAUUUGACUCAACACGGGGAAACUCACCAGGUCCAGACAUAACUAGGAUUGACAGAUUGAUAGCUCUUUCAUGAUUUUAUGGGUGGUGGUGCAUGGCCGUUCUUAGUUGGUGGAGUGAUUUGUCUGGUUAAUUCCGAUAACGAACGAGACCUUAACCUGCUAAAUAGUCAGGUUGGCUUCGGCUGAUCGUAUUGACUUCUUAGAGGGACUGUCAGUGUCUAACUGACGGAAGUUUGAGGCAAUAACAGGUCUGUGAUGCCCUUAGAUGUUCUGGGCCGCACGCGCCGCUACACUGACAGAGCCAGCGAGUUUUCAAUCCCUUUACCGGAAGGUAUGGGUAAUCUUGUGAAACUCUGUCGUGC
Molecule: ribosomal RNA, 736 nt
Filed under: uncultured fungus
Lineage: Eukaryota; Fungi
Description: SSU rRNA
Rfam family: Eukaryotic small subunit ribosomal RNA
Source: RNAcentral